AGGGCACCACCAGGAGUGGAGCCUGCGGCUUAAUUUGACUCAACACGGGGAAACUUACCCGGCCUGGACACUGGAAGGAUUGACAGAUUGAGAGCUCUUUCUUGAUUCAGUGGGUGGUGGUGCAUGGCCGUUCUUAGUUGGUGGAGCGAUUUGUCUGGUUAAUUCCGAUAACGAACGAGACUCUAGCCUAUUAAAUAGGCUCUCGGCUUUUAAACGCCGGGAGGACUUCUUAGAGGGACAGGUGGCGGUUCAGCCGCACGAAAGAGAGCAAUAACAGGUCUGUGAUGCCCUUUGUUGUCCGGGGCCGCACGCGCGCUACACUGAAGAGAUCAGCGUGCUUUACGUUCCUGCUCCGACCGGAGUGGGGAACCCAGUGAACCUUCUUCGUGAUUGGGAUAGAAGAUUGUAAUUAUUCUUCUUGAACGAGGAAUUCCCAGUAAAUGCGAGUCAUAAGCUCGCGUUGGUUACGUCCCUGCCCUUUGUACACACCGCCCGUCGCUACUACCGAUUGAACGAUUU
This 519-nucleotide ribosomal RNA is filed under the name uncultured eukaryote. RNAcentral's name for it is "SSU rRNA". It matches the Rfam family "Eukaryotic small subunit ribosomal RNA", at positions 1161 to 1699 of the family's 1831-position model. The record is from RNAcentral.